UGAAUACGAGACGCUAAGGCGUCGAAGUAGUGUAUGUCAUACUUCCAAGAAAAGCUUGCACUGUCAUAGAUAAAAAACGCCUGUACCAUAACCGACACAGGUGGGUAGGUAGAGUAUACUAAGGGGCGCGAGAUAACUCUCUCUAAGGAACUCGGCAAAAUAACUCCGUAACUUCGGGAGAAGGAGUGCCUUAUUCGUAAGGUUGCAAUAACAAGAUCCAAGCAACUGUUUAUCAAAAACACAGGUCUCCGCUAAGUCGUAAGACGAUGUAUGGGGGCUGACGCCUGCCCAGUGCCAGAAGGUUAAAGAAGUUGGUUAGCAAUUGCGAAGCUGAUAACUGAAGCCCUGGUGAACGGCGGCCGUAACAAUAACGGUCCUAAGGUAGCGAAAUUCCUUGUCGGGUAAGUUCCGACCCGCACGAAAGGCGUAAUGAUUUGGAUACUGUCUCGGAGAGGGGCUCGGUGAAAUAGACUUGUCUGUGAAGAUGCGGACUACCUGCACCAGGACAGAAAGAUCCUAUGAAGCUUUACUGUAACUUGAAAUUGAAAUUGGACUUUAUUCGCGCAGUAUAGGUGGGAGGCGUUGAUUAUAAUCUUGUGGGAUUAUUGGAGCCAUCAGUGAGAUACCACUCUUGUAAUGUUAGAUUUCUAACUUUGAAUCAUUAUCUGGUCAAAGAACAGUUUCAGGCGGGCAGUUUGACUGGGGCGGUCGCCUCCUAAACGGUAACGGAGGCGUACAAAGGUUUCCUCUGAACGGUUAGAAAUCGUAUCUAGAGUGUAAAGGCAUAAGGAAGCUUGACUGUGAGACCUACAAGUCGAGCAGGGACGAAAGUCGGUCUUAGUGAUCUGACGGUACUGAGUGGAAAGGCCGUCACUCAACGGAUAAAAGUUACUCUAGGAUAACAGGCUGAUCUCCCCCAAGAGUUCACGUCGACGGGGAGGUUUGGCACCUCGAUGUCGGCUCAUCGCAUCCUGGGGCGGUAGUACGUCCCAAGGGUUGGGCUGUUCGCCCAUGAAAGCGGUACGCGAGCUGGGUUCAGAACGUCGUGAGACAGUUCGGUCCAUAUCCGGUGUAGGCGUUAGAAUAUUGAGAGGAGCCUUCUUUAGUACGAGAGGACCGAGAAGGACAUACCUCUGGUGUACCAGUUAUCGUGCCAACGGUAAACGCUGGGUAGCUAUGUAUGGAGUGGAUAACCGCUGAAAGCAUCUAAGUGGGAAGCCCACCUCAAGAUAAGUAUUCUCAUC
RNAcentral lists this ribosomal RNA (1244 nucleotides) under metagenome. RNAcentral describes it as "bacterial LSU rRNA". It matches the Rfam family "Bacterial large subunit ribosomal RNA", at positions 1564 to 2818 of the family's 2925-position model. The record is from RNAcentral.